Molecule: ribosomal RNA, 676 nt
Filed under: Pseudomonas aeruginosa
Lineage: Bacteria; Pseudomonadati; Pseudomonadota; Gammaproteobacteria; Pseudomonadales; Pseudomonadaceae
Description: bacterial SSU rRNA
Rfam family: Bacterial small subunit ribosomal RNA
Source: RNAcentral
GAUUCAGCGGCGGACGGGUGAGUAAUGCCUAGGAAUCUGCCUGGUAGUGGGGGAUAACGUCCGGAAACGGGCGCUAAUACCGCAUACGUCCUGAGGGAGAAAGUGGGGGAUCUUCGGACCUCACGCUAUCAGAUGAGCCUAGGUCGGAUUAGCUAGUUGGUGGGGUAAAGGCCUACCAAGGCGACGAUCCGUAACUGGUCUGAGAGGAUGAUCAGUCACACUGGAACUGAGACACGGUCCAGACUCCUACGGGAGGCAGCAGUGGGGAAUAUUGGACAAUGGGCGAAAGCCUGAUCCAGCCAUGCCGCGUGUGUGAAGAAGGUCUUCGGAUUGUAAAGCACUUUAAGUUGGGAGGAAGGGCAGUAAGUUAAUACCUUGCUGUUUUGACGUUACCAACAGAAUAAGCACCGGCUAACUUCGUGCCAGCAGCCGCGGUAAUACGAAGGGUGCAAGCGUUAAUCGGAAUUACUGGGCGUAAAGCGCGCGUAUGUGGUUCAGCAAGUUGGAUGUGAAAUCCCCGGGCUCAACCUGGGAACUGCAUCCAAAACUACUGAGCUAGAGUACGGUAGAGGGUGGUGGAAUUUCCUGUGUAGCGGUGAAAUGCGUAGAUAUAGGAAGGAACACCAGUGGCGAAGCGACCACCUGGACUGAUACUGACACUGAGGUGCGAAAGCGU